RNAcentral lists this ribosomal RNA (207 nucleotides) under uncultured bacterium. Its description in RNAcentral is "partial 16S ribosomal RNA". It matches the Rfam family "Bacterial small subunit ribosomal RNA", at positions 568 to 774 of the family's 1533-position model. The record is from RNAcentral.
CUCGUAGGUGGCCAUCUAAGUCAGACGUGAAAUCCCUCGGCUUAACCGGGGAACUGCGCCUGAUACUGGACGGCUUGAGUUUGGGAGAGGGACGCGGAAUUCCAGGUGUAGCGGUGAAAUGCGUAGAUAUCUGGAGGAACACCGGUGGCGAAGGCGGCGUCCUGGACCAACACUGACACUGAUGAGCGAAAGCCAGGGGAGCAAACG